CGCGGCUGCGAAUUCGUCCAGGGACCACUCCUAUUUAAAGCCCCUCUCCGUUCGCCUCCGAGUUCUCUCGCAUCCAUCUCUCGCUAGGGUUGCCGAUUUCCUCUGCCGCUCUCUCUCUUAAUCUUGUUCCGUCCUCUUCUUUCCCAUAAGACUUCAGAGAUCGUUGGGGUCUUCGGGUUCUUCGCCGCCGUCAUCGAGACACAGUGUUUUGUCAUUGAAAAGUAUGUUUCCUCUUCUAUUCUCUGUUCGUUGAUUUCUUUUUUCGAUUUUGUGAUUACAUUAGAGGUAUCGUGGAUUGAUCGAUUUCAUAUGGGUCUUUCUGGGGAUAAUACCAUAUGAUUUAGAUCUCGUUUGGUUUUCGCUGUUUUUCUUUUUGAUUCUCCUGUUGUUCUUUUUGUUUGAUGUCUGAAUAAGGACAAGAACUUGUUUUCUUCCUGGUUUUUGAUUUGGUUACAGAUCUGUUCUUUAAUGUGUGUUUGUGUCUUGUUUAUGCGUUUUGUGAUGGAUUAGAAUGUUGAAUCGAUGGCCGUUGUUGAUGGAUGCGGUGAUUUUUCUUUUUAAUCUUUAGGAAGGUAAAUCUUGGUGUUCCUGUUGGUAGAUUCCGGUGACUUUUUUCUUUUUUGCUAAAUCUGUUACCUCCUUUAUGCUUGUUGUGUCAUUAAACAAAAACAAAACUAUGGCUUUGUUGUUUUUUCCCUAUUGAUGCUUGCCUUUAUUUACAGUUCGAUUCUUCUGAAGUUUUUGUUUGAUGUAGAUCUGGUUGUAUAGGGAAUAAUCUUUGUUUAUGAAUGAUCUUAUCUCGUUGGUGCUCUCUUUGCGUUUCCUCUGCUCUUUAAGUUCUGUGAAUCUCCCGUGUUUUUUUUCUUUUUUCUAUUUUAUUCGCUUGUAGAUCAAAACCUCAUCUUUAUUCCUUUGAUUUUUGUAUUUUUUUAUUUUUCUACCAAGAAUUAUUAUCGGUACGCGAUAUGAUAACCGCUAUUUAUCGUGUACAUUUUUACGAGUUUUCAUUCUUGUUUGUAUUUACACA
RNAcentral lists this long non-coding RNA (1027 nucleotides) under Phoenix dactylifera (date palm). RNAcentral describes it as "long non-coding RNA (PDAC_LNC012628)". The record is from RNAcentral. Lineage: Eukaryota; Viridiplantae; Streptophyta; Magnoliopsida; Arecales; Arecaceae.